Molecule: ribosomal RNA, 492 nt
Filed under: uncultured bacterium
Lineage: Bacteria
Description: partial 16S ribosomal RNA
Rfam family: Bacterial small subunit ribosomal RNA
Source: RNAcentral
AGUGAACGCUGGCGGUAGGCCUAACACAUGCAAGUCGAACGGCAGCACAGUAAGAGCUUGCUCUUACGGGUGGCGAGUGGCGGACGGGUGAGGAAUACAUCGGAAUCUACUUUUUCGUGGGGGAUAACGUAGGGAAACUUACGCUAAUACCGCAUACGACCUACGGGUGAAAGCAGGGGAUCUUCGGACCUUGCGCGAUUGAAUGAGCCGAUGUCGGAUUAGCUAGUUGGCGGGGUAAAGGCCCACCAUGGCGACGAUCCGUAGCUGGUCUGAGAGGAUGAUCAGGCACACUGGAACUGAGACACGGUACAGACUCCUACGGGAGGCAGCAGUGGGGAAUAUUGGACAAUGGGCGCAAGCCUGAUCCAGCCAUACCGCGUGGGUGCAGAAGGCCUUCGGGUUGUAAAGCCCUUUUGUUGGGAAAGAAAAGCAGCAGGUUAAUCCCCCGCUGUUCUGACGGUACCCAAAGAAUAAGCACCGGCUAACUUCGUG